AUUGAACGCUGGCGGAAUGCUUUACACAUGCAAGUCGAACGGCAGCACGGGGCAACCUGGUGGCGAGUGGCGAACGGGUGAGUAAUACAUCGGAACGUGCCCAAUCGUGGGGGAUAACGUAGCGAAAGCUACGCUAAUACCGCAUACGAUCUACGGAUGAAAGCGGGGGAUCGCAAGACCUCGCGCGAAUGGAGCGGCCGAUGGCAGAUUAGGUAGUUGGUGGGGUAAAGGCUCACCAAGCCUGCGAUCUGUGGCUGGUCUGAGAGGACGACCAGCCACACUGGAACUGAGACACGGUCCAGACUCCUACGGGAGGCAGCAGUGGGGAAUUUUGGACAAUGGGCGCAAGCCUGAUCCAGCCAUUCCGCGUGCAGGAUGAAGGCCCUCGGGUUGUAAACUGCUUUUGCCAAGGGAUAAAGAGAGGCUAUACGCCUAAAUGAAGGUACUUGGUGAAUAAGCCACGGCUAACUACGUGCCAGCAGCCGCGGUAAU
This 492-nucleotide ribosomal RNA is filed under the name uncultured bacterium. RNAcentral's name for it is "bacterial SSU rRNA". It matches the Rfam family "Bacterial small subunit ribosomal RNA", at positions 30 to 524 of the family's 1533-position model. The record is from RNAcentral.